RNAcentral lists this ribosomal RNA (384 nucleotides) under Triticum aestivum (bread wheat). Its description in RNAcentral is "partial small subunit ribosomal RNA". Lineage: Eukaryota; Viridiplantae; Streptophyta; Magnoliopsida; Poales; Poaceae. The record is from RNAcentral.
AUGGCCGCACGCUCCUCCGCGCCCCAAUCACCACCGCCACCGCGGAUCCUCGAGUACCAUCAACCUGGCACGCAGUCCAUGGCCGGCUCCCCAUGCAGUCCCCUUCUUGCUGCGAACGCGAAUCCGGUCAACCCCUUCCUCUUCUCCUUCUCUUCCUCCGGUGGAUCCUGCCGCUUGUCUCACCCGGGCGCACUUUCAGCCACCGGAGCCGUCGCCCCCGCCCCGCGCUCCGCCUUCCCAACCGGGAUCCUCCCGCCGACGCUGCAGGCCACGGCCCCGCGGGACCUCGUCCCCUCGGCGCUACAUGUUCAACUUCUACUUCGGCAGCAGCGGCGGAGACACACAACAGCGGCAGUGCCCAGGCCGUUCAACUUUGCCAUCUGA